AUGCCGCCGCCGCCGGCGACGCUGCCGGACGAGCUCCUCGAGGAGAUCCUCCUCCGCCUCCCGCCGGACGACCCCGGGUGCCUCUUCCGCGCCUCCCUCGUCUACAAGCCCUGGCGCAGCCGCCUCACCGGCCCCGCCUUCUCCCGCCUCUACCGCGAGUUCCACCGGACGCCUCCCUUGCUGGGAUUCUUCGAGAACGACGAGAUGAUACUGUGCUGGUUUUCUCCCUUGUCCCUAUUAGACUAG
This 246-nucleotide ribosomal RNA is filed under the name Triticum aestivum (bread wheat). RNAcentral describes it as "partial small subunit ribosomal RNA". Lineage: Eukaryota; Viridiplantae; Streptophyta; Magnoliopsida; Poales; Poaceae. The record is from RNAcentral.